GAUAAACGCUGGCGGCGUGCCUAAUGCAUGCAAGUCGCACGGAUCACUUCUUCGGGGGUGGUGAGUGGCGAACGGGUGAGGAACGCGUGGACAACCUACCCCGGCGUGGGGAAUACCCGCCAGAAAUGGCGGCUAAUACCGCGUACGGUCCCAUGGCGGCGGGCUGUGGGAAGAAAGCAGCGAUGCGCGCUGGGAGGGGUCUGCGCCCGAUUAGCUUGUUGGCGGGGUAACGGCCCACCAAGGCGAUGAUCGGUCGCUGGUCUGAGAGGAUGAUCAG
Molecule: ribosomal RNA, 277 nt
Filed under: uncultured bacterium
Lineage: Bacteria
Description: partial 16S ribosomal RNA
Rfam family: Bacterial small subunit ribosomal RNA
Source: RNAcentral